GGGUGCGAGUGCUGCCAUGUAGCGGCAUUAGCCUACUCUUUUUCGAAAUCUACAAGGGUGUCUUUAAUUAACGUGCAAGAGAUAUGGCUCUCUCUUAACACGGGUCAGUCAUUUAUCGUCCCCUUCCGACGGACUAUCAUCGUUUCCUCAAGACCAUACUCGCAGAUGGUGUCAAGGGAGAGCCGAAAAUUAAGUUCCUGAAAUUUUCAUCCCAAACGGGAAUCGAACCAGGAACCUUUGUGUUAGUAGUCCGAUGCACUAGCCACUAC
RNAcentral lists this long non-coding RNA (269 nucleotides) under Mytilus galloprovincialis (Mediterranean mussel). Lineage: Eukaryota; Metazoa; Mollusca; Bivalvia; Mytilida; Mytilidae. The record is from RNAcentral.